UAUUAUAAUAAAAUAUAAGGAAUAAGGGUCAAAUAGGCCAUUGAAUUACACAUGAAACUACAAUUAGGCCAUCCAACUCAAAAAAACUACAAUUAGGUC
Long non-coding RNA from Ipomoea nil (Japanese morning glory), 99 nucleotides. RefSeq lists it as uncharacterized. The record is from RefSeq and is a predicted model, not a curated record. NCBI's taxonomy places the organism in Eukaryota, Viridiplantae, Streptophyta, Magnoliopsida, Solanales, Convolvulaceae. The transcript is spliced from 3 exons.